RNAcentral lists this ribosomal RNA (491 nucleotides) under uncultured bacterium. RNAcentral's name for it is "bacterial SSU rRNA". It matches the Rfam family "Bacterial small subunit ribosomal RNA", at positions 899 to 1397 of the family's 1533-position model. The record is from RNAcentral.
ACUCAAAGGAAUUGACGGGGACCCGCACAAGCAGUGGAGUAUGUGGUUUAAUUCGAAGCAACGCGAAAAACCUUACCAGGUCUUGACAUCGUGCGCAUAGCUAAGAGAUUAGUGAAGUCCUUCGGGACGCACAGACAGGUGGUGCAUGGUUGUCGUCAGCUCGUGUCGUGAGAUGUUGGGUUAAGUCCCGCAACGAGCGCAACCCUUACUGUUAGUUGCUACGAAAGAGCACUCUAACGGGACUGCCGUUGACAAAACGGAGGAAGGUGGGGACGACGUCAAAUCAUCAUGCCCCUUAUGACCUGGGCUACACACGUACUACAAUGGACAGAAACAGAGGGAAGCAAGAUAGCGAUAUGGAGCAAAGCCCUAAACCUGUUCUCAGUUCGGAUUGCAGGCUGCAACCCGCCUGCAUGAAGUCGGAAUUGCUAGUAAUCUCGAAUCAGCAUGUCGAGGUGAAUACGUUCCCGGGUCUUGUACACACCGCCCGU